Molecule: ribosomal RNA, 1715 nt
Filed under: Burkholderia ubonensis
Lineage: Bacteria; Pseudomonadati; Pseudomonadota; Betaproteobacteria; Burkholderiales; Burkholderiaceae
Description: bacterial LSU rRNA
Rfam family: Bacterial large subunit ribosomal RNA
Source: RNAcentral
GGAUGUCCGAAUGGGGAAACCCACUCCUUAUGGAGUAUCCAUGGCUGAAUACAUAGGCCAUGUGAAGCGAACGCGGUGAACUGAAACAUCUAAGUAACCGCAGGAAAAGAAAUCAACCGAGAUUCCCAAAGUAGUGGCGAGCGAAAUGGGAUGAGCCUUGUACUCUUUAUUUGUAUUGUUAGCCGAACGCUCUGGAAAGUGCGGCCAUAGCAGGUGAUAGCCCUGUAGGCGAAAACAGUAUGAAAGAACUAGGUGUACGACAAGUAGGGCGGGACACGUGAAAUCCUGUCUGAAGAUGGGGGGACCAUCCUCCAAGGCUAAAUACUCGUGAUCGACCGAUAGUGAACCAGUACCGUGAGGGAAAGGCGAAAAGAACCCCGGGAGGGGAGUGAAAUAGAUCCUGAAACCGCAUGCAUACAAACAGUCGGAGCCUCGUAAGGGGUGACGGCGUACCUUUUGUAUAAUGGGUCAGCGACUUACGUUCAGUAGCAAGCUUAACCGUAUAGGGCAGGCGUAGCGAAAGCGAGUCCGAAUAGGGCGUUCAGUUGCUGGGCGUAGACCCGAAACCAGGUGAUCUAUCCAUGGCCAGGAUGAAGGUGCGGUAACACGUACUGGAGGUCCGAACCCACUAACGUUGAAAAGUUAGGGGAUGAGCUGUGGAUAGGGGUGAAAGGCUAAACAAACCUGGAAAUAGCUGGUUCUCUCCGAAAACUAUUUAGGUAGUGCCUCGUGUCUCACCUUCGGGGGUAGAGCACUGUCAUGGUUGGGGGGUCUAUUGCAGAUUACCCCGCCAUAGCAAACUCCGAAUACCGAAGAGUGCAAUCACGGGAGACAGACAUCGGGUGCUAACGUCCGGUGUCAAGAGGGAAACAACCCAGACCGCCAGCUAAGGUCCCCAAAUAUAGCUAAGUGGGAAACGAAGUGGGAAGGCUAAAACAGUCAGGAGGUUGGCUUAGAAGCAGCCACCCUUUAAAGAAAGCGUAAUAGCUCACUGAUCGAGUCGUCCUGCGCGGAAGAUGUAACGGGGCUAAGCUAUAUACCGAAGCUGCGGAUGCGUGCUUAGCACGCAUGGUAGGAGAGCGUUCCGUAAGCCUGCGAAGGUGCGUUGUAAAGCGUGCUGGAGGUAUCGGAAGUGCGAAUGCUGACAUGAGUAGCGAUAAAGGGGGUGAAAGGCCCCCUCGCCGUAAGCCCAAGGUUUCCUACGCAACGUUCAUCGGCGUAGGGUGAGUCGGCCCCUAAGGCGAGGCAGAAAUGCGUAGCUGAUGGGAAGCAGGUCAAUAUUCCUGCACCGUCGUUAGAUGCGAUGGGGGGACGGAUCGCGGAAGGUUGUCCGGGUGUUGGAAGUCCCGGUCGCUGCAUUGGAGAAGGCGCUUAGGCAAAUCCGGGCGCAGGAUUCAAGGGUGUGGCGCGAGCUCCCUCGGGAGCGAAGCAAUUGGAAGUGGUUCCAAGAAAAGCCUCUAAGCUUCAGUCUAACGAUGACCGUACCGCAAACCGACACAGGUGGGCGAGAUGAGUAUUCUAAGGCGCUUGAGAGAACUCGGGAGAAGGAACUCGGCAAAUUGGUACCGUAACUUCGGGAUAAGGUACGCCCUUGUAGCUUGAUGCGCCUGCGCGCAGAGGGUGAAGGGGUUGCAAUAAACUGGUGGCUGCGACUGUUUAAUAAAAACACAGCACUCUGCAAACACGAAAGUGGACGUAUAGGGUGUGACGCCUGC